AACGAACGCUGGCGGCAGGCCUAACACAUGCAAGUCGAGCGCGCCCUGCGGGGUGAGCGGCGGACGGGUGAGUAAAGCGUUGGAAAGUUCCCUUUUCUACGGAAUAGCCUCGUGAAACCGAGAGUAAUACCGCAUACGCCCGUUGGGGGAAAGAUUGAUCGGGAAAGGAUCGGCCCGCGUUGGUUUAGGGAGUUGGUGGGGUAAAGGCAUAACAAGAAGACGAUGCAGGGCUGGUUUGAGAGGAUGAUCAGACACACUGGGAGUGAGACACGGCCCAGACUCCUACGGGAGGGAGGAGUGGGAAAUCGUAGAAAAGGGGGGAAACCCUGGGCGAGACAUGGCGCGGGAGUGAUGAAGGUAUUAGGGGUGUAAAGCUCUUUCAGGUGAGAAGAUAAUGACGGUACCAGCAGAAGAAGCCCCGGCUAACUCCGUG
This 433-nucleotide ribosomal RNA is filed under the name uncultured bacterium. RNAcentral describes it as "partial 16S ribosomal RNA". It matches the Rfam family "Bacterial small subunit ribosomal RNA", at positions 29 to 507 of the family's 1533-position model. The record is from RNAcentral.